Molecule: ribosomal RNA, 532 nt
Filed under: uncultured bacterium
Lineage: Bacteria
Description: bacterial SSU rRNA
Rfam family: Bacterial small subunit ribosomal RNA
Source: RNAcentral
UACGGGAGGCAGCAGUGGGGAAUUUUGGACAAUGGGGGCAACCCUGAUCCAGCCAUGCCGCGUGAGUGAAGAAGGCCUUCGGGUUGUAAAGCUCUUUCGCGAGGGAAGAAAUUGCACCGGAUAAUACCUGGUGUAGAUGACGGUACCUUGAUAAGAAGCACCGGCUAACUACGUGCCAGCAGCCGCGGUAAUACGUAGGGUGCGAGCGUUAAUCGGAAUUACUGGGCGUAAAGCGUGCGCAGGCGGUUUCGUAAGACAGGCGUGAAAUCCCCGGGCUUAACCUGGGAACUGCGCUUGUGACUGCGAGGCUAGAGUACGGCAGAGGGAGGUAGAAUUCCACGUGUAGCAGUGAAAUGCGUAGAGAUGUGGAGGAAUACCGAUGGCGAAGGCAGCCUCCUGGGCCAGUACUGACGCUCAUGCACGAAAGCGUGGGGAGCAAACAGGAUUAGAUACCCUGGUAGUCCACGCCCUAAACGAUGUCAACUAGGUGUUGGUGGGGUUAAACCCAUUAGUACCGCAGCUAACGCGUGAA